CAGCCAUAUAUCUGUUUCCAGUGGACCUUUAUUGGGAAAAGUUGUCUUCCAGCUGAGGAGCUCCGCACCUAUACAAGAUUCUACAAUGGCGAGGGUCUCUAUAAAAACUGAGGGCGUGCUGCAGCGAUGUCCUAAGCAGGUUGUGGACCAAGGCCAAUGGCUACUUAAUUUGUACUUGAAGCUGCCUAUGUUGCGUCGACUGAUGCACAUCAACGGAGUCGCUAGAGCUGUUUCAGGUGUCGCCGAAUAUCUUGCACAUGUAGAACGCCGGACUCUUAUACCCUACGUUUUGCCACAAGCCGAGUCGUAUCCGAUUUCCCCCCGCCAGACGGAGUCCUAUCCAAACAUUACCGAGGCGUAUUCGAGACAGACCGAGUCCCAUCCCAGCCAGACUGAAUUGUGUUCCAGCAGGACAGAAGCGCACCCCUUACCCGAUUUGAACCCGGCCAUUUGACGCGAGUUUUUUUUGUACGGUGGCGCCCCAAUCGGCCCGUGCGACGGCUUCCUGUGAUCGGAAAAAUAUCCCUGAUUUGCUGGAGUCCUUAUCAAGGACCAAGGAACAAGGAAAUGUACUCCAGGCGUAUAAAUAUUGUUCUUGCCGUUAUUUUAGGCUCGAUCGGGACCUGCCAGGAACCCACGUGCUCAGAUAAAUAUCCUUGAUCCUUCGGUAAGGACAUCAACCGCCCCAACCAUACAUAUUUAUUUUUCCCGGCUUUUUGUGGCCCGAUCGGGACAUGCGUCAUCUUACUGUGUUUGGAACAGCACCCUUGAUCUAAUGCAGUCCGUAUCAAGGACCAAGGAUCAAGGAUAUUGUCCCCAGACCUAUAUAUCUUGUUUUCUCCUUUAUUUGUGGCCUGAUCGGGGAGUGCCACGGCUUCCCGUGAUCAGAUAUAUGUCCUUGAUUCUUUGAUAAGGACCUCAGCCAUACAUAUUUAGAUCUCGGCUAUUUGUGGACCGAUCUGGGCGUGCGAUGGCUUCCUGUGAUCGGAAAAGUG
RNAcentral lists this unclassified non-coding RNA (995 nucleotides) under Drosophila pseudoobscura pseudoobscura. Its description in RNAcentral is "GA25536". Lineage: Eukaryota; Metazoa; Arthropoda; Insecta; Diptera; Drosophilidae. The record is from RNAcentral.